RNAcentral lists this ribosomal RNA (492 nucleotides) under uncultured bacterium. RNAcentral's name for it is "partial 16S ribosomal RNA". It matches the Rfam family "Bacterial small subunit ribosomal RNA", at positions 29 to 507 of the family's 1533-position model. The record is from RNAcentral.
AGUGAACGCUGGCGGUAGGCCUAACACAUGCAAGUCGAACGGCAGCACCGUAAGAGCUUGCUCUUACGGGUGGCGAGUGGCGGACGGGUGAGGAAUACAUCGGCAUCUACUUUUUCGUGGGGGCUAACGUAGGGAAACUUACGCUAAUACCGCAUACGACCUACGGGUGAAAGCAGGGGAUCUUCGGCCCUUGAGCGAUUGAAUGCGCCGAUGUCGGAUUAGCUAGUUGGCGGGGUAAAGGCCCACUAAGGCGACGAUCCGUAGCUGGUCUGAGAGGAUGAUCAGCGACAGUGAAACUGAGACACGGUCCAGACUCCUACGGGAGGCAGCAGUGGGGAAUAUUGGACAAUGGGCGCAAGCCUGAUCCAGCCAUACCGCGUGGGUGAAGAAGGGCUUCGGGUUGGAAAGCCCUUUUGUGGGUAAAGAAAAGCAGCAGGUUAAUCCCCCGCUGGUCUGACGGUACCCAAAGAAUAAGCACCGGCUAACUUCGUG